CGAGGAGGACAAGGUGAUCGCGGCGGCGGCUCUCGAGCGGUCGUCGAGGAAAGUCCGGGCUCCACAGGGCAGGGUGCUGGCGCAGGCCAGUCAGGGCGACCUGAAGGAAAGUGCCACAGAAAGCAAACCGCCCGUGCUCGCACGGGCAAGGGUGAAAGGGUGCGGUAAGAGCGCACCGGGCUCCUGGCGACAGGGACCGCACGGUAAACCCCACCCGGAGCAAGGCCGAGCAGGGACGCACCCGGAGGUGGCAACACCUUCGGGCAGGGGUAGCCCGCCCCGUCCCGGGUAGUGCCGCACAGAGGAAUGAUCACCACCCGGCGAGAGCGAUCGACCCGGGGACAGAACCCGGCUUACGACCUCGCUCGACCG
Molecule: RNase P RNA, 372 nt
Filed under: Myxococcales bacterium
Lineage: Bacteria; Pseudomonadati; Myxococcota; Myxococcia; Myxococcales
Description: RNase P RNA component class A
Rfam family: Bacterial RNase P class A
About the family: Ribonuclease P (RNase P) is a ubiquitous endoribonuclease, found in archaea, bacteria and eukarya as well as chloroplasts and mitochondria. Its best characterised activity is the generation of mature 5'-ends of tRNAs by cleaving the 5'-leader elements of precursor-tRNAs. Cellular RNase Ps are ribonucleoproteins.
Source: RNAcentral